RNAcentral lists this long non-coding RNA (860 nucleotides) under Rattus norvegicus (Norway rat). RNAcentral's name for it is "long non-coding RNA NONRATT012052". The record is from RNAcentral. Lineage: Eukaryota; Metazoa; Chordata; Mammalia; Rodentia; Muridae.
GAUACAGCCUGCCCAUGGACACCAAGCUUUAGGAUGCUACAAGCAUCCCUGACUUGAAGGCUCUCUGUAGGCUGAGAACCAAUGGGGCUGAGAGUCUGGACUGAAAUAUUUCAUUCCGGAGACGAGCGAUACAUCGUGGACAAAGGAGGACCCGAGAGACAGCAGUCACUUUCUCUGCAUCCUGCUCUGCGAGCAUCUUUGCUCCACGAGCCAGAAAAUGUUUACUAUUUCUUGGUCUUGGAAGCCAUGGCUCUUUCAUUUGGUGUCGAACCUUGUGGUGGAGUGAGGCCUGUCUUCAUGAAGCACAACCCUGCCAUUUCCAGCAGACACAGACCUCCAUCGCCGUCUCCGACAACCAGCUGCACGUGCACGUUCGGGAAAGAGGAAACUUGAGGGCAAACAUCGCUGCUGAGGACAACAGGAGGUUCCUCUUGCCGAGUGUGUGGGGAUCACCAGUUGAUUGGAUGGAAAUCUGACUGCAGAGGAGAGGAAACAUGACUAGCAGCAGCAGCAACUUGGGGGCAACAACCCGCCAGGCCAUGCUCGAGUGUUGGUGACAUACCAGGCAGAAUGGCUGAGGCCCUGGGCUUCCUUCCCUAUUGGGGGAGCUCUCCUACGGUGGUGCUUUAGUGCGCACUGUGGAACAGGGUGUUUAUAGCAUUCUUUCAGAGGAAGACAUUUGGUGGACCUCGGUUCAGCAAGUUCUGGGCAGUUGAACUACUACAGUAAUUUCCUGGGCACUCCUGGUACUCGAAUACUGACCACAUGUAUAGGGAAAAGAAAUAAGGCUGUGUUCUGUAAGCAUUGAAUCAUGAAUAGAAAAUGUAAUGUCUUAAAUAAAAUUGUUUAAAUUCUGCACC